RNAcentral lists this ribosomal RNA (544 nucleotides) under Bacillus cereus. RNAcentral describes it as "bacterial SSU rRNA". It matches the Rfam family "Bacterial small subunit ribosomal RNA", at positions 197 to 727 of the family's 1533-position model. The record is from RNAcentral. Lineage: Bacteria; Bacillati; Bacillota; Bacilli; Caryophanales; Bacillaceae.
AAAUUGAAAGGCGGCUUCGGCUGUCACUUAUGGAUGGACCCGCGUCGCAUUAGCUAGUUGGUGAGGUAACGGCUCACCAAGGCAACGAUGCGUAGCCGACCUGAGAGGGUGAUCGGCCACACUGGGACUGAGACACGGCCCAGACUCCUACGGGAGGCAGCAGUAGGGAAUCUUCCGCAAUGGACGAAAGUCUGACGGAGCAACGCCGCGUGAGUGAUGAAGGCUUUCGGGUCGUAAAACUCUGUUGUUAGGGAAGAACAAGUGCUAGUUGAAUAAGCUGGCACCUUGACGGUACCUAACCAGAAAGCCACGGCUAACUACGUGCCAGCAGCCGCGGUAAUACGUAGGUGGCAAGCGUUAUCCGGAAUUAUUGGGCGUAAAGCGCGCGCAGGUGGUUUCUUAAGUCUGAUGUGAAAGCCCACGGCUCAACCGUGGAGGGUCAUUGGAAACUGGGAGACUUGAGUGCAGAAGAGGAAAGUGGAAUUCCAUGUGUAGCGGUGAAAUGCGUAGAGAUAUGGAGGAACACCAGUGGCGAAGGCGACUU